GAUAAGGCAGCGGAGACGUCCCCUGAAAGAGCGGAGUCGACUCUCUCAGAGAAUUCCAGAAGACAUGUUUUUCGGAGUUAUAACAGCGGAGUCGUCCCCAAGGCAGCGGAGUCGUCCCCAAGGCAGCGGAGUCGUCCCCAUGCAAAAAGUGCAAACAAGCCGAGACGUCCCCGUAAAGUACAGAGACGACCCUCUCAGAAAAACAGAAAAACAAGGAUUCAAACGAUACAAUUCCAGAGU
This 240-nucleotide long non-coding RNA is filed under the name Phoenix dactylifera (date palm). RNAcentral's name for it is "long non-coding RNA (PDAC_LNC017779)". The record is from RNAcentral. Lineage: Eukaryota; Viridiplantae; Streptophyta; Magnoliopsida; Arecales; Arecaceae.